CACCUCCUAUUUUGAUCACAUGACGAUGUUUGCGGCACAUUUUGAGGUCACGUGGAUACAUUUGGGUUCCAUCCAGCACAUAUCUUGCUGAGUAACGUUAGCUAGUCUUUUCGGGCUGUCCGACUUUUACUUUACCUCCUGCAAAAUGUCCAAACUACAGUUGUUGAAUGUGUUUCUUACCAAGCGACUAACCGCGGCUGCUGUGGAGAUAUAUGAGGAAGUGGAAAAAACCAUAACAGAAUACGAGAACGAAAUGUCCAGUUCAAAGGAGGAGAUCAAGCGUUUACGGCGGCUACUGGAUUUGGUUUUCAAUCCCGAGAUAAAAUUACAUCGAGCAGACCUACAUCAGCUCUAUCUCCCAGAUGAGGUUUCUCCUGAGCAGCAGCACUGUGAGCAGGGGUGGAGCCCCAGUCUGAAGCAAGAGGACCCAGAGCCCUCACAGAUUAAAGAGGAACAUGAAGUCUGGACUAGUCAGGGGGGAGAACAGCUUAAAGAGCUAGAGUCUGAUACCAAGGAGUUCAUAUUCACUCCCUCUGUGGAAAAUCUGGAACCACCUCAGACCUCACAUCUUUUCCAAAUGCAAAUUGUGCUUUCACCUACCAGUACAACUAAAGAGAUCAAGAUGAAACCAUGUCACAUUGGUGAAAACUCUUCUUGUCAUGUUUGUGGUAAAUGUUUUGACUGUAAAUCUGGUCUGGAAAGGCAUAUGAGGGCUCAUACUGGCGAAAAACCUUAUUGCUGCAGUGAAUGUGGCAAAUGCUAUAGUCAGAUAGGAAAUCUGAAAGUGCAUAUGAGGGGGCACACAGGGGAGAGAUCAUACAGAUGCUUUUUGUGUGGAGAAUACUUCAUCACAGCAUCCCAAUUAAAAUCACAUAAAAUCACUCACACGCAGGGGAGUAAUAUAAUCCCGGGGACAUCCAAAAGCAAAUCUCGUUUGUAUGCUGGUAACAGUCGUGAGACUAGGGAGGGACCGUAUCAGUGCAAGGAAUGUGUUAAAUCCUUCAGGCAGAAGAGGAACCUGUUACGGCAUAUGAGAAAUCACACAGGAGCAAUUAAUGCAGCAAAUGCUUCAACUGGAGUGGAACAUUUUUUUAUUACAUGAUUUACACAGAGGAGAAAAUGUAUUUUGUGUCCUAAUGCUCCAGCAACGAAUUCAAACAAGUGAAAUCCACAUCAGUGCAAGGACUUCAGGAAAUGGUUUAGAAAGUUUGGAUUCGGAUAUCUUGAAAAUUAAAGGAGAAGGAAACAUGGGAGGAAACAUGAACGUGUCAUUUGGAUCAGUAGGGGUUGACUAAUGGACUUGUAGAACAUCAAAUUAUUUCAUUACAUUUAUCACAUUUGUUGUUUUUGGCGAAGAUAUUUAGGAUUUGUAAGCACCCUCAAACUUUUAUGAAUAAAAGUUGUACAGCUGUAUUCUAGAAUAUGGUGUGUUAAAAUUCACCAUUGAAUCUAACAUUUUGAACCUGGGGGAUUGACUGAGAAUGUGAUCCUCUCAUCUAAAUUGAUAAUGCGUUUCUGCAAACUCUAUUAUCCUCUGCGGGUUGCGAGGCAGAUGUUUUUACAGAUGCUCUUAAACAUGACUGGCAUACGACAGUCUUUUCUGGGACAAACAUUACUGUGUUAAAAACAAAUGUAUAUUUUAAUAAAGAUGUGUUUUAAAUGGA
Long non-coding RNA from Oncorhynchus nerka (sockeye salmon), 1664 nucleotides. RefSeq lists it as uncharacterized. Lineage: Eukaryota; Metazoa; Chordata; Actinopteri; Salmoniformes; Salmonidae. The transcript is spliced from 2 exons. The record is from RefSeq and is a predicted model, not a curated record.